Argentina anserina (silverweed cinquefoil) is the source of this 1560-nucleotide long non-coding RNA. RefSeq lists it as uncharacterized. NCBI's taxonomy places the organism in Eukaryota, Viridiplantae, Streptophyta, Magnoliopsida, Rosales, Rosaceae. The record is from RefSeq and is a predicted model, not a curated record. The transcript is spliced from 4 exons.
UACAUCUCUUUCUUUUGCUGCUGGUUUAUAAUUGGUGAAUGAUUUUGGCACACUUCAUGUUCAUCAAUCUGUUCUGAGCUUGUCUUUGUUACUAUCCUAGUUUUGAUCAGAUUGUGUCUAGUCCUCGAAGGCAUUGAGACAUUGACAGCCAAAAGUCUCUUUUUUUAUUUAUGUUUGAUCUGAGUUGUUGGAGAAAAGAGAAGAAAAAUGGACGAUUUUACAAAAAAAAUGUAUGUUUUCUUCUUAUAAGCCAACCUUUGAAGUGAAACUCAGUGAAGCCUCUUAUGUUGGUUUUGGACUUUCUUGCUCUCAGGUUUCUUAUUUCAGCUAUAUGUUUAUGAUUGUGUUCCUGGUUGAUAUAAGGAACUUAGUAACAUCAAGGGAAGGAGUUUUACAUACUAAGAUGUUAGUAUUGUCAUCACAUACUAAGAUGUUAGCUUUUACAUCCAACCUUAUACUGUUUUUUUUUUUCACAUUUCAAUACCUUUUGAGUUCUUUCUGCAUCAACUGAUGUUAAAAUUUGAAUAUGGCUAUACUUGGAAAACUUCUAACUGGAAAUCCAAAGAUGCAGAACUGUAUAGUUUGAAGACACUGUAGCUAGAUUCAUCUGCCUCAUCUUUUAAGGAGGCGACUUCUAGAUCUCCGUAGACUUACAUAACUAUCAAUCUUCUCAGACUACGUCAUGUCUUUUUGCAAAGUGGAGGGCAAGUAGUGAAAUAUAUGUCAAAGUGGAGUGCCACAAAUCCCACAAUCAUCACUCUGAAUAGUUUGCUUCAUUAUUGUACCAAUAUGUCCAGCAUUUUUAGUCUUCCGUUUUAUUUUUAUAGAAACUCCAAGGAGCGUGGCAGUUGGACAAAGGCAUGGACUGACUAAGAUCUUGCUGAAGAUGUUAUUGCGGAAGCAUCAGCUAGCAUCAGUAGUGCCAAAUUUCGGAAGGUGAAAGGGGAAUUGAAGUCUUCUGCUAUGGCCAUGAAAGCUGUAGUCACAACCCACUUUUUGAUGCUUUGCAUGCAGCUGAAGAUGUAAGAUCUGAGUUGGAACAGAGGCCUGUGGGUUUUGAGGUUUGGUAGAGGGUGGAACUCUAUCUUGGCUACAUACCGAGAUGUAUUUGGUGAUAGAACUUCGGUAGAUCUAAAGAACAAGUGGACACAAAUGACAGAGAACGCUCGGAAGAGGCACCUGUGAACAGUCUGCUGUUCUGCUACUAUGUUGAUUUUGCUCGUAUAUAUCAAUACCUUAGCUGUAUGAUGGAGAAUAUGGAUCAGAGCUCACUUGCUAUGAUCCAGAAUGGUGAAAGUAGAUGAGUGAAUGAGUAAGCAUAGGUAACUGUAGAAUCGUCAAGGGAAGCACCUUAUGUAGCUCAACAAAGGAGAUGAGGGAGGUUUGGCAAGAGUGUGCAGUCUGUUGGAAAUACCUUUGAAACAAAUGCUGCUGAAAAGCUAUUGAUGUAUGAAACAAGAAACAUACUGUUUUUGAUGAAAAAUUCUUUCCAAUUAUGCAUGUGGGUAGUUUCCAUCUAUAUAUGUAAUGUGUAAUGUUAAAUAUCAUUAAGUUCUAUUG